RNAcentral lists this long non-coding RNA (613 nucleotides) under Homo sapiens (human). RNAcentral describes it as "HSALNT0261282". Lineage: Eukaryota; Metazoa; Chordata; Mammalia; Primates; Hominidae. The record is from RNAcentral.
UGAGGACGCCACAUCUCACGUGUGGAAAUUUCACUAACGUGGCUGCAGCAAGUGACCAGACAGAUGGCCGCAUUUGAGUGGGAGCCUCUUUAGCAAGAGCUUUUUAAAAUCAAGCUCCACCCAGGAGCUCUUUAUCUUCUUCAGAACCCACGGGAUUACAGACAUCUGCACCAGCCCCCGUGGGACCUUGGAGUCCAGGAGAAUGAAUACCAAGGCAUUGAUGCUCAUGCUCCCUGCUGGCUGGACCCAGGGAUGGAGCAGUGUCCUCACUCAUUGCACUCACCCUACCCAGGAUCUGUUUUUAGAGAAAAUCCCUUAAUCAGAAAGGAAGACUAAGAGAAAAAGGAAGAAAAGAUCUACAAAACAACUAGGAAAAAGUAACAAAAUGGCAGUAGUAAGCCCUUACCUAUCAAUAAUUACCAUGAAUGUAAAUGGAUUAAAUUCUCCAGUUAAAAGACAGACUGGCUGAACGGAUUAAAAAACAUGACCUAACUAAAGUUGGCCAUUGAACAAUAUGAGUUUGAGCUGCAGGAGUCCAAUGUCAUGCAGAUUUUCUUCCACCUCUGCCACUCCGAGUCAGCAAGACCAGCCCUUCCUCCUCCUCUCCCUCAGA